Molecule: long non-coding RNA, 651 nt
Filed under: Salmo salar (Atlantic salmon)
Lineage: Eukaryota; Metazoa; Chordata; Actinopteri; Salmoniformes; Salmonidae
Description: lncRNA (ENSSSAG00000101059.1, ENSSSAG00000107850.1)
Source: RNAcentral
UGUAGGUGGAGGUAUAGAGGUAUGGGACUGCAGGUGGAGGUAUAGAGGAAUGGAACUGCAGGUGGAGGUAUAGUGGUAUGGGACUGCAGGUGGCGGUAUAGAGGUAUGGGACUGUAGGUGGAGGUAUAGAGUUAUGGGACUGCAGGUGGAGGUAUAGAGGUAUGGGACUGUAGGUGGAGGUAUAGAGGUAUGGGACUGUAGGUGGAGGUAUAGAGGUAUGGGAGUGUAGGUGGAGGUAUAGAGGUAUGGGACUGUAGGUGGAGGUAUGGGACUGUAGGUGGAGGUAUGGGACUGUAGGUGGAGGUAUAGAGGUAUGGGACUGUAGGUGGAGGUAUAGAGGUAUGGGAUUGUAGGUGGAGGUAUAGAGGUAUGGGACUGUAGGUGGAGGUAUGGGACUGUAGGUGGAGGUAUAGAGGUAUGGGACUGUAGGUGGAGGUAUAGAGGUAUGGGAUUGUAGGUGGAGGUAUAGAGGUAUGGGACUGUAGGUGGAGGUAUGGGACUGUAGGUGGAGGUAUAGAGGUAUGGGACUGUAGGUGGAGGUAUAGAGGUAUGGGACUGUAGGUGGAGGUAUAGAGGUAUGGGACUGUAGGUGGAGGUAUAGAGGUAUGGGACUGCAGGUGGAGGUAUAGAGGUAUGGGACUGUAGGUGGAG